AACGUAGGGGGCAAGCGUUGCCCGGAUUCACUGGGCGUAAAGCGGGUGUAGGCGGUUCCUUAAGUCAGGUGUGAAAUCCUGCGGCUCAACCGCGGAACUGCAUCUGAUACUGGGGAACUUGAGGACGGUAGAGGUCGGUGGAAUCCCCUGUGUACCGGUGAAAUGGGCAGAUAUAGGGGGGAACACCAGUGGCGAAGGCGGCCGACUGGGCCGAUCCUGACGCUGAGACCCGAAAGCCAGGGUAGCGAACCGG
RNAcentral lists this ribosomal RNA (253 nucleotides) under uncultured bacterium. RNAcentral's name for it is "partial 16S ribosomal RNA". It matches the Rfam family "Bacterial small subunit ribosomal RNA", at positions 524 to 776 of the family's 1533-position model. The record is from RNAcentral.